UACAGAGGGGGCAAGCGUUGUUCGGAAUUACUGGGCGUAAAGGGCGCGUAGGCGGCCUUCUAAGUCGAACGUGAAAUCCCUGGGCUCAACCCAGGAACUGCGUCCGAUACUGGAAGGCUUGAAUCCGGGAGAGGGAUGCGGAAUUCCAGGUGUAGCGGUGAAAUGCGUAGAUAUCCGAAGGAACAUCAGUGGCGAAAGCGGCUUCCUGGACCAGAACUGACGAUCAGGCACGAAAGCGUGGGGAGCAAACAGG
RNAcentral lists this ribosomal RNA (253 nucleotides) under uncultured bacterium. RNAcentral describes it as "partial 16S ribosomal RNA". It matches the Rfam family "Bacterial small subunit ribosomal RNA", at positions 524 to 776 of the family's 1533-position model. The record is from RNAcentral.